GAUGAACGCUGGCGGCGUGCCUAAUACAUGCAAGUCGAGCGAACAGAUAAGGAUCUUGCUCCUUUGACGUUAGCGGCGGACGGGUGAGUAACACGUGGAUAACCUACCUAUAAGACUGGGAUAACUUCGGGAAACCGGAGCUAAUACCGGAUAACAUAUUGAACCGCAUGGUUCAAUAGUGAAAGGCGGCUUUGCUGUCACUUAUAGAUGGAUCCGCGCCGUAUUAGCUAGUUGGUAAGGUAACGGCUUACCAAGGCAACGAUACGUAGCCGACCUGUGAGGGGGAUAGGCCACCCUGGAACUGAGACACGGUCCAUGCUACUACGGGAGGCAGCAGUAGGGAAUCUUCCGCAAUGGGCGAAAGCCUGACGGAGCAACGCCGAGUGAGUGAUGAAGGUCUUCGGAUCGUAAAACUCUGUUAUCAGGGAAGAACCAAUGUGUAAGUAACUGUGCACAUCUUGACGGUACCUGAUCAGAAAGCAACGGCUAACUACGUG
RNAcentral lists this ribosomal RNA (497 nucleotides) under uncultured bacterium. RNAcentral's name for it is "partial 16S ribosomal RNA". It matches the Rfam family "Bacterial small subunit ribosomal RNA", at positions 28 to 507 of the family's 1533-position model. The record is from RNAcentral.